AUACGUAGGGUGCGAGCGUUAUCCGGAAUCAUUGGGCGUAAAGAGCUCGUAGGCGGUUCAGCAAGUCGGCUGUGAAAGUUCGAGGCUCAACCUCGAAAUUGCAGUCGAUACUGCUGUGACUCGAGUCCGGUAGAGGAGAAUGGAAUUCUCGGUGUAGCGGUGAAAUGCGCAGAUAUCGAGAGGAACACCAGUAGCGAAGGCGGUUCUCUGGGCCGGCACUGACGCUGAGGAGCGAAAGCGUGGGGAGCAAACAGGAUUAGAAACCCCAGUAGUCC
This 275-nucleotide ribosomal RNA is filed under the name uncultured bacterium. RNAcentral describes it as "partial 16S ribosomal RNA". It matches the Rfam family "Bacterial small subunit ribosomal RNA", at positions 523 to 796 of the family's 1533-position model. The record is from RNAcentral.